GUCAGUUUUGGGAAAAGGAAAAGUAAGUCUGAUCUCCUUGAUAGUUCCAAUAUACAGAGUAUAUACAAAUAUACUUACCUGGGUCGGACCGGGUCAGGUGAGUAUAUUAAAUUGGGCUCAGAAAAUGACUGGGCUCAUAUUCAACAUCACAGCCCACAUCAGCACCACAGACCAAUACAGCCAUCAGCCCAAUACAUCAUUGCCCUAUACUCCUAUACUAUAUACACUUUAUAUACAUCACAUAUACAAAAUAAAUUGUACAACUACUCAAAUGUCUAAGUAAUGUCAACACCCCCCCUCAAGUUGGAGGGGGACACCACCUUCAACUUGGACAGCAAAGGAUGAAGAGCAGUCCCAGUAAUGGGCUUUG
Molecule: long non-coding RNA, 370 nt
Filed under: Nicotiana benthamiana
Lineage: Eukaryota; Viridiplantae; Streptophyta; Magnoliopsida; Solanales; Solanaceae
Description: long non-coding RNA (NBEN_LNC024193)
Source: RNAcentral